Molecule: non-coding RNA, 45 nt
Filed under: unclassified sequences
Description: SAM-SAH-Weickhmann-2018 RNA
Rfam family: SAM/SAH riboswitch aptamer
Source: RNAcentral
CCGUCACAACGGCUUCCUGGCGUGACGGCGCAAUUCAAUGGAGCA